UCCAAAUACAACCAAUUCAUUGGGCUGUCUGGAGAACGUUUUCUUUGCUUACUUUUAAGAAAUUUCUAAUUUGUUUCGUCUGUCAGACGGUGUCUGAGAGGGAGCUAGAUGCAAAUUCAUUACUAGAAACCAGUAACGUAUUCUUGGCGCUGGGAAAAAAAAGCCCAUGCAAUAGAUGAACAAUGGGUCUUCAGUUCAUCAGCAACAAAAGAAUUGGGGAAGUUGCUUGACUUUCAAAGCACGUCUUUCUCCACAGAGGGCUGGGCCAGACCUCGGCCAACCCCAAAAACUUACAGACACUCUCACACCAGUUCACUUUUCCUUUCGGUUAAGGAGGCACAAUACGUUAAAUGGAAGGUUGUUUUUUUCCUCGUCUAUGUGGAUGGAAUAUGUUCCACUCAAAGCAACUGAAGCACGUAUAAUGAGUUUGGAAAAAGCGGCAAUUUUAAAUGAGCGGGUGAUGAGAGAUGGUUUAGGAAAGAGAGUCUAUAAGGUUGAUCGCUGGAUGAGUUUUUUUCUUUUCGCUGUGUAAGGACUGUAAGGAAAAUUGCUGCACUUUUUUGACGAAACUUCUUUUCACAGUCAUGAAUAAUCAUAGUUUUGAAGAGAUGACCAUUGCUUACAAUCCACUGUAAAAGAAUUGCAAAAUUGGCCUGUUCAGAAUUAUUACUGGAAUUAGGUCAGCGUGAGGCCCCCUCUGCCAAUCCAAGGUCCAUCAGCAUCCAUAGUGCUGGCGAACAACACAGAUCUGAGUGGCUUCUACAGCAGAACCGCAUGUGCCUUAUUGGCCACAGGAGUUGCUGGUGACCGUGUAAACCGAGGAUAACCCUGCCGACCUGAACACUCCCCACCAGGGCGGCGCUCAACCAAUUGUGCGUCACCCCCUGGGAACUCCCGCCCAUGAUAACUUGGAUUCAAACCAGUGAUCUCCAAGCUAGGGUGCAUCCUGCACUCCAAGUGGAGCGCCUUUACUGGAUGUGCCACUCGGGAGCCCACCUUGUCACAUUAUUUAAAUCACUGCGCUGCCUCACAGAAUUUAAGCUAAGUAUAAGUAACCAUCUUGAUUACACUCACUUACAUAACUAUGAGUAGUAAGUAAUAAGUAGACAUGCCGACUUGGAUGAAGAUCAUUUAAAUUAACUGGAAGAUAGCAAAACACAAUAAAAUACCAAAAAAAAAAAAUAAUAAUAUAUGCUCACUCACCCCGACUUUGUCACUUCAAAUAAUGUAUUUUUAGUGGUUUGUAAACGCUAAAGAAAAUCCCCAAAAGACAUUUGUGCACAUUAUCCACCCCUCUCUGACACAGAUCUUGAACAAAGUACUGAAAUCCAAGAUGCUGAAUUUAUUAUUUCAGGUCUGUUAUCUAUUUUCAGGUCUGUUCUGCUCAGUGUGUCUGCACUGACAGGAAGAAAAAAAAGUGCUGUCUUGACUCCACCCCCUGGUGUAUUUUUUUUAAUGACAAUGUGCACACUAUCCAAAAAAAACGAUUUACUUUCUAUUACAUGUUUUAAUUGGAUUAAAGCACUCAUCCCAACUUAGCGUGUAGUUCAAAGGUAUACAUGGGACAACUUUAUUUGGCGUAAGGAUAUUUAAUAAAAAAAAAAGAAAAACAUGAAUAAUUUUUUGUCUUAAACAUGAUUUAUGCUUUUUUUUCUUCAAAUCCACUGUUUUACCUGGAUUAUAAAUGCAAUAAGGCUCUUUAGGGCAUCUGUAUGCAUUGAAUAUGCAGACUUCCCGGGGGCUGAAGGCACUCGAUUUCAUCUCUUGCUGCACAACGCUCCGAGGCGUUCGUAUAUUCGACGUAUACGGACGCCCAGCCAGGCAUCAUUGUGUACAUAUAAGAAAACUACACCAGGGGUGGAAGAAGAGUGUCACAAAAAUAUAGUAUAAUCUGCUAUUUGUUACACAGGGAUAUUAAGCUAUAUUUAACAUUUGAUAAGUAUAGUAUAGUCAUGGACCCUGCCACAAUCAAAUAAAAAGAGGUCACCAGUACCUAUAUUCAAAAUAUUCCAGUUUAUAGGAAACCAUGAUUUUUUUUUUUCUUUUAUAAUUUCUUAGCAAUUUUAUAUUCACCUGAAAUAUUGCUAUAUGGGUUGUGGUUCAAUUAAGAGUGCCAGGGAGUUAACAAAAAUGAGAAGAACUCCACUCUGGUUUGGAGCUGCCCAUCUUUUGCUAUCUGGAUGGCAUGAUGUAUUAAAAAUUCUAUUUCUUCUUAAAAAAAAUAUAUAAUCAAUUUCCUAAUGAAAUUGGGGGUAUUUAUGACACAAGAUUUACAUUUCAUAUGUGCUCCGUGUGGAAUAGCAGGGGAUGAAAAGGAUGUGUGCCUUAUGUUGUCACUACUUUUUUUUUUUUCUUUAUACUUUGUAUAUAUUUAUUUUACUAUUACUUUGUUGCUGUACAUGGCAUCCUUUUAACAGCAAGGAAUGAAAAAGUUCCCACAUGUGUUUAACUUUUUUUUGGGCUGGCUUGAGGAACGUUAACACAGGAAAACCCCCUUUAGUUCAAGUUGGCUUCCUCUCUGUUCCAUGUACAGUAAUGUGGAAAGAGAAUAACAUGGUGUCUGUAGCAUGAAAACAUGAAUAGUGAAUAGCUUGGUUAUCAGCAAGCUUUGGGGAGAUCCAUGUGGACGCACUACUGCAUCGAGUUCAUACUUCAAAAACAAACCAACACUAUAGAUUGUAAAAGGUGUCACAGAGUGGGGCUUGGCACUGUUAUUUAGUGCCCGAUGUUCCACAUAUUUAAGACUAUGUGCCUACUGUAUAUUUCUCUUAAAGUUUCAUUGAAAGAUGCUUUGUUAACUGCUUAUAGAAAUACCAGUCCUGCUUGUUAGCUAACAUGUCAGUACUGUGCGUGUGUAAAAUCUCAGUGAAAUUUAGCUACAAAUAAGUCUUCUGGUUUCUCAAAAGAUUUUAUAAACAGAGGUUUUAUAUAAUCCAAGCUAAUUUCUCCAAAAAUAAACAAACAAACAAAUAAAUAAAUAAAUAAAUAAAUACCUCUGCUUGUAUGUGGGUGGUGUGCUUUCCUAGCUUGCAGCAAUAGGGUCAUUACUUUUGUUUAGGAACAAAAAAAAAAUCUACAUUUUGUUAGGGUGUAUUCAUAUGUUUUGAUCUGUUGAAUUGACAAUAGAAAAGAAUGUUUUACACCCAAGAGCCCUAGAGCCUUUACAGUCUUGAUGGUGUCAAACAGUGCUUAUUAUUUAUUUAUUUAUUUUUUUUUUUGUAGGCCUAUAUCUAUAUUUUAACUUUAGUUUGCUGAACUUAUGUUUGUGAUUUUAAUCAUUAUUUUGUUUGUGCAAGUACAUAGAAAUAAAGAAUAUGAGGUUCUAUGUUGUUUGUAUGACACCUUUUGGAAUUUGGAAAAUGACAUAAAAUGGCAUAUAAAGUAGGCUCUAGCCAAUAUUAAGUAGGCUCUAGCCAGUAUUAAAAUAAUAUUAAGUUAUAGCUCCAAUGUGAAUGUAUUUUAUGGCUGUUCCAAUAAACUGUUCUUAUGAGCUUGAUGUUGAAAAACACAAAUAGGUAUAAUGCUGUAGGUGAGGCAUGUCUACAUUAAAAAAUAGCUACCAUUAUAAUGACCUGCAACUCAAAGUGCUAAUGUGCAGAACUAUUUACCAUAUCUGUGAAUAACCUUAAAGAGAGAAGCCCCUACUGUACUUAAAAAAAACAAAUUUAUCAAAUGCUUUUGAGCGCAGGAUAGGUAAAUAUUACAGGUCCCUUUUCUGUGAAGCUGGGGCUAACCUCUUACCCUAAUGAAAGGUUUUUCUAGAUGAUAAAAGAUUGUUAAUUAUUCAUGUGUUUAGACAGUACGACCACGGAAAAUGACGUUUAUCAACCAGCGUGGAAAACAAAUGCUGUAUAAACAUAUCAAAUCAGAUUCUACACAGUUCAAACAUUAAAUAUUAUUGAAAUGAUUUAAGUAUCUCAAGGGGCUUGGUUGAGUGACCUGCCCAGGGUCAGACAGCGUGUCAGUACCUGAACUAAGUUACUUGCAUACAUAAGUUUUUUCAAUUGGGAGGGAUUUUCUUCACCAAGAUGAGUCAACAAUGUUAAAAGUUGUUGUUUAGCGGAAUUUCAUUUUCUUCCAGGAAAGCAGGAGGUGUCACAAGGAGGUAGCAUAUCCAACAUGAUCAUCUGAAACUGUCUGAUGGUCCACAGUGCUUUAUGGGAAGGAUGAUCUAUUAAAGUGGUUCACUUCAUAUGAAAAGCAUCUCAAGAAACUUGUGUAGCCAAUUCUUUCUUUGGUCUGUAGACUAAAGCAACAAGCAUUUUAUAAACUAUGGAUUUUGGAUUAGAAAACUAUUUUGUAUGUUACAACUUUGUUCUGUUCGAACUAGUGCAAACCUAUUGGGUUUAUUUGGUAAUAAAGCAAAAUAUAUUCAAACAAAAUGUAAUAAAAUACUGACUAUUUAUGU
Long non-coding RNA from Polyodon spathula (Mississippi paddlefish), 4408 nucleotides. RefSeq lists it as uncharacterized. Lineage: Eukaryota; Metazoa; Chordata; Actinopteri; Acipenseriformes; Polyodontidae. The record is from RefSeq and is a predicted model, not a curated record. The transcript has 4 exons.